UCUAUGAAGUAAACGGCUGCAUAAAUCUGAGUGUACUAAGGUAGCGCUAUAAUUUGCCUUUUAAAUGGGGGCUGGUAUGAAUGGGUUCACGUGGGAGUUGCUGUGUCACAAAAAGUUUUUGAAAUUAACUUUCAGGUGAAGAGGCCUGGUUAGAUUUACAGGACGACAAGACCCUAGAAGCUUUACUGAUGACAGGUUAUAAGUUAGUUUGUUUUGGUUUUGUUGGGGCAACAUAGUUAGAAAAUAUAGCUUGUUUUUAUAAACUUACAAGUUAAAACCACAUUGGUGAAUAAGAUAAGCUACUCUAGGGAUAACAGCGUUAUUUUUUUUAAUAGUACGUAUUGUAAAAAAAGUUUGCGACCUCGAUGUUGGACUAAGGUGUCCUUAAGGUGCAGAAGCCUUAAAGGGUUGGCCUGUUCGUCCAUUAAAACCUUACA
This 437-nucleotide ribosomal RNA is filed under the name Idas sp. K JL-2009. Its description in RNAcentral is "partial 16S ribosomal RNA". It matches the Rfam family "Bacterial large subunit ribosomal RNA", at positions 1912 to 2600 of the family's 2925-position model. The record is from RNAcentral. Lineage: Eukaryota; Metazoa; Mollusca; Bivalvia; Mytilida; Modiolidae.